This 433-nucleotide ribosomal RNA is filed under the name uncultured bacterium. RNAcentral describes it as "partial 16S ribosomal RNA". It matches the Rfam family "Bacterial small subunit ribosomal RNA", at positions 29 to 507 of the family's 1533-position model. The record is from RNAcentral.
AACGAACGCUGGCGGCAUGCCUAACACAUGCAAGUCGAACGAGACCUUCGGGUCUAGUGGCGCACGGGUGCGUAACGCGUGGGAACCUGCCCUUAGGUUCGGAAUAACUCCCCGAAAGGGGUGCUAAUACCGGAUAAUGUCUUCGGACCAAAGAUUUAUCGCCUUUGGAUGGGCCCGCGUUGGAUUAGCUAGUUGGUAGGGUAAAAGCCUACCAAGGCGACGAUCCAUAGCUGGUCUGAGAGGAUGAUCAGCCACACUGGGACUGAGACACGGCCCAGACUCCUACGGGAAGCAGCAGUGGGGAAUAUUGGACGAUGGGCGAAAGCCUGAUCCAGCAAUGCCGCGUGAGUGAUGGAGGCCUUAGGGUUGUAAAGCUCUUUUACCCGGGAUGAUAAUGACAGUACCGGGAGAAUAAGCUCCGGCUAACUCCGUG